CGUAGGUACGGUGAGCCACGGGAUUGUACCAUCGCCGCUGCCCGGAAGAGAGAUAGGACUCCGAUUUUCAUUGACUUCAGGAAAUUGAUGGGGAUUCAGAAGUAGCCUGUGUCUAUGAUUCUGCGAGGCCAUUGGUAUCUUCUAAAGACGUAAUAUAGGUCAGAACGAGCUAGAAAUAGUUUGGUGCAGCAAGAGGAUUGUAGUGCUCACCGGCUCUUUUCGAAAGAUUUUGUUAGCAAAUGAUGAGUUAGCGUUGUACAAGCCAAUAAUAAUUUGUGUGAAAAUUUAUACAAAAACAAAUGUUGAUGUAUCAAUAAAAAUGAUGAGCAGUGUCUUGUAGCGAUGUUGUGAUGAUGUGGCACA
Molecule: long non-coding RNA, 363 nt
Organism: Sorghum bicolor (sorghum)
Lineage: Eukaryota; Viridiplantae; Streptophyta; Magnoliopsida; Poales; Poaceae
Exons: 3
Source: RefSeq, a predicted model, not a curated record